UACGAGGGGAGCAAGCGUUGUUCGGAAUCAUUGGGCGUAAAGGGCGCGUAGGCGGCAGUACAAGUCUGGGGUGAAAGCCCUCGGCUUAACCGAGGAAUUGCCUUGGAAACUGUACAGCUUGAGUAUUGGAGAGGAAAGCGGAAUUCCCAGUGUAGCGGUGAAAUGCGUAGAUAUUGGGAGGAACACCGGUGGCGAAGGCGGCUUUCUGGACAAUCACUGACGCUGAGGCGCGAAAGCCAGGGGAGCGAAACGGG
Molecule: ribosomal RNA, 254 nt
Filed under: uncultured bacterium
Lineage: Bacteria
Description: partial 16S ribosomal RNA
Rfam family: Bacterial small subunit ribosomal RNA
Source: RNAcentral